RNAcentral lists this transfer RNA (75 nucleotides) under Mesomycoplasma hyopneumoniae. Its description in RNAcentral is "Mycoplasma hyopneumoniae tRNA-Trp". It matches the Rfam family "tRNA". From Rfam's summary of the family: Transfer RNA (tRNA) molecules are approximately 80 nucleotides in length. RNAcentral also lists the same sequence under 11 other names. Lineage: Bacteria; Bacillati; Mycoplasmatota; Mycoplasmoidales; Metamycoplasmataceae. The record is from RNAcentral.
AGAGGUGUAGUUCAAUGGUAGAACAACGGGCUUCAACCCCGUAUGUUGCGGGUUCGACUCCUGUCACCUCUGCCA